RNAcentral lists this ribosomal RNA (305 nucleotides) under uncultured bacterium. RNAcentral describes it as "bacterial SSU rRNA". It matches the Rfam family "Bacterial small subunit ribosomal RNA", at positions 337 to 639 of the family's 1533-position model. The record is from RNAcentral.
CCCUACGGGAGGCAGCAGUGAGGAAUAUUGGUCAAUGGGCUUACGCCUGAACCAGCCAAGUCGCGUGAGGGAAUAAGGCCCUACGGGUCGUAAACCUCUUUUGCCGGGGAGCAAGGGCCGGGACGAGUCCCGGUCCGGAGAGUACCCGGAGAAAAAGCAUCGGCUAACUCCGUGUCAGCAGCCGCGGUAAUACGGAGGAUGCGAGCGUUAUCCGGAUUUAUUGGGUUUAAAGGGUGCGUAGGCGGGCUUUUAAGUCAGCGGUAAAAAUUCGGGGCUCAACCCCGUCCGGCCGUUGAAACUGGGGG